Molecule: ribosomal RNA, 491 nt
Filed under: uncultured bacterium
Lineage: Bacteria
Description: partial 16S ribosomal RNA
Rfam family: Bacterial small subunit ribosomal RNA
Source: RNAcentral
AGUGAACGCUGGCGGUAGGCCUAACACAUGCAAGUCGAACGGCAGCACAGUAAGAGCUUGCUCUUACGGGUGGCGAGUGGCGGACGGGUGAGGAAUACAUCGGAAUCUACUUUUUCGUGGGGGAUAACGUAGGGAAACUUACGCUAAUACCGCAUACGACCUACGGGUGAAAGCAGGGGAUCUUCGGACCUUGCGCGAUUGAAUGAGCCGAUGUCGGAUUAGCUAGUUGGCGGGGUAAAGGCCCACCAAGGCGACGAUCCGUAGCUGGUCUGAGAGGAUGAUCAGCCACACUGGAACUGAGACACGGUCCAGAAUCCUACGGGAGGCAGCAGUGGGGAAUAUUGGAAAAUGGGCGCAAGCCUGAUCCAGCCAUACCGCGUGGGUGAAGAAGGCCUUCGGGUUGUAAAGCCCUUUUGUUGGGAAAGAAAAGCAGCAGGUUAAUACCCCGCUGUUCUGACGGUACCCAAAGAAUAAGCACCGGCUAACUUCGU